AUCUCGCAUGAGGCUGGCGAUGAAAAUCAGUCACUGCAUGAGUCACAAAGCAGAGAGUAUUCCAGUGAUGAUAUGAUAAUCCGUCCGAAAAUAAGGAUAAGGAGUCCGUAUGACAGAUGGAUUUAUUUCAAAUAGUGAAGAACUAUAUGCACCGAAACAAAGAGGAAACAUCAUAUGUGCGUGUGAAUUGAAGUUGACAAGUGAUGCAGUAUAUAAACUACAUAUCGUUACAGUACAUCGUCCUUUUAAACCACCUCAAGCUAAGGAUAUGUACAACACCAACAACACAACAGGUCAAGAAUAGGGAAUAUUGUGGAGAGGCAGAACAACCCGCCCAUGAUCAUACUGAUGCAAUGAAGCCACUUCCGCCCAACCCUGUCCACCAAGAGCAUGACAAGAGUGUAGGCCGGGAACUCCACCAGACCAGACAGGAAGAAGUUCAAGAAGUAGUUACCCCCAAGGUUACCGGAGUUAAGGGACAGACCAUAAUAGGCCAUUGUCACCAUGCACCUAAAGACAAAGAAAAUAUAAUUUCGUUAAAUUAUUGAAUAAUCAUGAACUUUGGACUAGGGAAAUAUUAUAGUAUUUCUAUCAUAUACAAAAAGAAAAUAUAAUUAUUCCAUUCCUGUCUAUCCUGUAACUAUGGAGAAAGUUAAACCCCUUUUUGCAUCGCUGUCACCUUACUCCAGUAGAAAUUGAAAAUACAUUCUGUAAAGUCACCACUGUGCGACGCUGGAAAGAUAACAGCAUCAAGGUAUUUGCUUUAAAUUGUUCACCUGUUAUUACGGCCGUCAGAUUGUUAGUGUAUGAUAUACUGACAACGUCAGUUAAAUAUGAAGCAUUCCCUAGCACGUGAUAGAAUCUCGUGACUGUUCUCAACAGUAUUAUUAAUACCUCUUGGUAUAAUUAAAAUUUCAGUAAUAAAGUUAGUGUUUUAAGUAUGAACCUACCAAUUUACAAAAAUCACCAAAGUUCUUAAGCAUAACACCCGUGAGGUAAAGAGCUGCCAGACUCUCCCGUCAUUUUGUUUACCGUCGUCAGUUUCCUUGUCCGAUACUUGUAACAGAUUAUCAUUUAACACGACCUUGUUCACCUUGGCUACCUUCUGUAGGACGACCUUGGCUUCUUCAUAUCUAUGUUUGGUAAUAAGCCAUCUUGGCGACUCCGGCAAUAGCCUUCGAUUAUAGAAGAUUGUAAAAAAAAGAACAAACUUUGCGAAAUAUUGUAACAUAGGGAACAAAGAAGAGGAAAAAACAGUCAUGAAAUGUAUUCAUUACACGCAACAUCACUUCUCGGAAUGCACAAGAUGGUACAGGUCAUCCAACGUUAUGUUACUACAUGUGGUACCCGUUAUAAUAUCACGUUUAUGCCACAUAGGAUAUUCACCAUUGCAUUCUUAUUUAUCACAUGUGGUAUCGUCUAAUGUCUUUUGUAAAUAUAGAGUAUCAUUCAUUGUAUUUCACGUCACCAUAUGUGUUACCCGCCUAUUGCUUUCUAUUAGCAUUCGUCCUAGUGUAGCUUGUCACCACAUUUGAUACCUGUACCCGUCUAAUACCUCUUGCAAGCAUAGAGUAUCCGUUGUUAUGUUCCCAGUCACCACAUGUGGAACCAGUCUAAUAUCUUGUCAACUUAGAUCGUCCGUCAUUGUGUUGUGGUACCAGUAUAUUGUAUUCUGUUAACAUAGAAUAUCCAUUAUUGUGUUCACAGAUACCACAUGUGGACCCGUCUAAUGUAUUUUGUCGACAAUGAUUAUCCGCCAUUAUGUUAUGAUACCCAUCUAAUUUCUCUCAUGUACAUAGUGUAUUCGUCAUUGUGUUCCCAGUCUCCACAUGUGUUUUCCGCCGAUGAGUUACCCCGCCAGAGGAAGGAAUGUGCUGAAUGACUAACCAACAUUUCUAUCGAAUUAUAUAAUGCUUAAUUUCUUUCCAAUAAUUCAUUAUAUGUAUAUAGUGACUUCAAUAUUCCAAUUUUUAAAAAAAAACAACAGAUGUCUCACCACCAAUAGGUCAGGAUAAUACUGAAUGGAGCAGCACAUGCUAUCUCUAUAUAUUUCCAGUGACGAAUUAAGUAAGCUAUUCCAGACAGGAUUAUUAGACCCAACGCAAAGAAGUACUCGCUGACGAUUCCGGCAAACGUUCGCUUUGUGGGUCCUACAAGUUCCAUUCCUGUAAUAUGACAAUUGACAGUAUUAUGUUACGUAUGGUUUUCUACAUUAUUGAUACUAGUACAACAUUCGUAUACGUUUGAAAACAUUAAGACGCUCAAGUGCUUCCGUGUUUAAAAGUGAAAACAAAAUUAAAAUCAAAUUGAAUUGGAAAAUUUAGUUUCCUGACAAAUAACACAACACAAUACCUGUAUUAUAACUAUAACAAAAGGCACUGGUUGUUUUCGGAUUCGAAAAAUGAAGAUAAUACCUGAUAUUAUUUACAGCUGUCUUGAAGGAAUAUAGACUAUUAUACGUACCGAUCACAAAUCCGACUAAGAAGACUCCCUGAGUUGUCGCCCCUAUAGCGGUCAUGAAUAUGGCGAACGCAAUAUAGUUUGGACUGAACGCUAAAGCCAAAGUUGAGGCCAACAUAAGAAUGACUCCGAUGUAGAAUGUUUUUUUCCGUCCGAUUCUGGUGAGAUAUGUCAGUACAUCAUGUGGUAAUAUCUUACGUCCUCACUGUACAAUACUAGCUACAUAAAGGUAUUUUUAUAGAGUUA
Molecule: long non-coding RNA, 2706 nt
Organism: Ylistrum balloti
Lineage: Eukaryota; Metazoa; Mollusca; Bivalvia; Pectinida; Pectinidae
Exons: 3
Source: RefSeq, a predicted model, not a curated record